Myotis lucifugus (little brown bat) is the source of this 107-nucleotide small nuclear RNA. The record is from Ensembl. Lineage: Eukaryota; Metazoa; Chordata; Mammalia; Chiroptera; Vespertilionidae.
GUACUCGCUUCGGCAGCACAUAUACUAAUAUUGGAAUGAUACAGAGAAGAUUAGCAUGACCCCUGCACAAGGAUGACACACAAAUUCCUGAAGCAUUCCAUCUUUUA